UUCAUAUUUAUCAGCUCCUCAAUCUUAGGAAUUAGAUAUGUCUGCCAUUUAUGGGAGCGAUCACAUCUCUCAUGCAUCAACUCCAUUACCUUAUACCAUAGCAUAUCUACCAUAGGAGUUAUUGGAAGCUGUCAUGCCUCUUUCGCUCAAUUGUUAAAUAACUCUACAACAUUAGAGUAUAUCUCCCCAUAUCACUCUGCC
Molecule: long non-coding RNA, 201 nt
Filed under: Elaeis guineensis (African oil palm)
Lineage: Eukaryota; Viridiplantae; Streptophyta; Magnoliopsida; Arecales; Arecaceae
Description: long non-coding RNA (EGUI_LNC013357)
Source: RNAcentral